AGAUUGCCUGCAGCAUCUUCCAAACACAGGGCUGGAGAUACCAGUCACAAAUUCAAAUAAGAUAACACAGUGCCUGGGCCAUCGUCUGCUGGACAACAUGGACAGCAUUUUGGAGAAGAACUCUCUUGUCAAGCAACAGGCCCCAUCAGACAAAGAGGGCUCCAAA
This 166-nucleotide long non-coding RNA is filed under the name Mus musculus (house mouse). RNAcentral describes it as "predicted gene 29579". The record is from RNAcentral. Lineage: Eukaryota; Metazoa; Chordata; Mammalia; Rodentia; Muridae.